This 295-nucleotide ribosomal RNA is filed under the name uncultured Sphingobacteriales bacterium. RNAcentral describes it as "partial 16S ribosomal RNA". It matches the Rfam family "Bacterial small subunit ribosomal RNA", at positions 346 to 637 of the family's 1533-position model. The record is from RNAcentral. Lineage: Bacteria; Pseudomonadati; Bacteroidota; Sphingobacteriia; Sphingobacteriales.
AGGCAGCAGUAAGGAAUAUUGGUCAAUGGACGCAAGUCUGAACCAGCCAUGCCGCGUGAAGGAUGAAGGCCCUCUGGGUUGUAAACUUCUUUUAUCUGGGGACGAAACAAGGGCUUUCUAGCUCACUUGACGGUACCAGAGGAAUAAGCACCGGCUAACUCCGUGCCAGCAGCCGCGGUAAUACGGAGGGUGCGAGCGUUAUCCGGAUUCACUGGGUUUAAAGGGUGCGUAGGUGGGCAGGUAAGUCAGUGGUGAAAUCUCCGAGCUUAACUCGGAAACUGCCAUUGAUACUAUC